AGAACGAACGCUGGCGGCAUGCCUAACACACGCAAGUCGAACGAGACCUUCGGGUCUAGUGGCGCACGGGUGCGUAACGCGUGGGAAUCUGCCCUUGGGUUCGGGAUAACAGUUGGAAACGACUGCUAAUACCGGAUGAUGACUUCGGUCCAAAGAUUUAUCGCCCAGGGAUGAGCCCGCGUAGGAUUAGCUAGUUGGUGAGGUAAAGGCUCACCAAGGCGACGAUCCUUAGCUGGUCUGAGAGGAUGAUCAGCCACACUGGGACUGAGACACGGCCCAGACUCCUACGGGAGGCAGCAGUGGGGAAUAGUUGGACAAGUGGGACGAAAG
This 330-nucleotide ribosomal RNA is filed under the name uncultured soil bacterium. RNAcentral describes it as "bacterial SSU rRNA". It matches the Rfam family "Bacterial small subunit ribosomal RNA", at positions 26 to 381 of the family's 1533-position model. The record is from RNAcentral.